Molecule: long non-coding RNA, 781 nt
Filed under: Phoenix dactylifera (date palm)
Lineage: Eukaryota; Viridiplantae; Streptophyta; Magnoliopsida; Arecales; Arecaceae
Description: long non-coding RNA (PDAC_LNC015689)
Source: RNAcentral
CAUAGUGCCGGUCAAAAGUUGCAUGAGACGGACCACGAGAACCAGAAUGAGGGUGAAAUUGAUGAGGCUGGCUAGAGAGUACAACUUGAAAGCCAGCUUGUGGGACUUGAAUUCGGCUGGCACCAAAGUUGCUUUGGAGAGGCACAACUGGAGUAUUAGCGGCAAGACCGUUAGGAGGUUUGUACUGGUUUGGGCAGGUGGAGGUGGCAACGACGUUUCGAGGAGGAUUUGGGCAGGAGGAGGUGCUGCUGAUGAUUGAGAGUGUGAGGGAUGGUGUAGGCGACGUGAGGGAGGGGAUUAAAUAGGCGAGUCGUUGCUCUUAGGACCAAACCCUAAGUAGGCGAUUGAGUAUUCCAUCCACCAAACCCUGAUCCUUCCACCAAACCUAGGUGGAGGUGCCGCUGACAUGUUAUUGCUAUUUGAAACCUUGCUCUUAGGACCCAUUUUCUUGUGCUGCUGACAUUCCUUGCUCAUAGGACCCAUUUUCCUUUUGAUCCUUCCACCAAACCCAGGAGGAGGUGCAUUUUGGGUUCCUUAUCUUCAGGUUCGGUUAUUUUCUCACGAAAUUGAUGGGGACAUCGGAGCCUAGUCCACCAUCUUAGUACAUAUUUAUUUCUAGUUCACCAUCUUAGUACAUAUUUAUUUUGUUUUGUUUAUUGGCUUGUUUGCAUUUUAGGGUUCAUUUGUGUAUUUGGGGUUUAUUGGAAAUUAUUCUUGUGUAGGGGGUUUAUUUUAAUUGUUCUUAUGAGGCCCUAUUUAAAGGGAACUUUGAUGGUAAUUA